This 792-nucleotide ribosomal RNA is filed under the name uncultured archaeon. Its description in RNAcentral is "bacterial SSU rRNA". It matches the Rfam family "Archaeal small subunit ribosomal RNA", at positions 85 to 879 of the family's 1478-position model. The record is from RNAcentral.
ACUGCUCAGUAACACGUAGUCAACAUGCCCAGGGGACGUGGAUAACCUCGGGAAACUGAGGAUAAACCGCGAUAGGCCAUGGUUUCUGGAAUGGAUCAUGGCUGAAACCUACAUGGCCCCUGGAUUGGACUGCGGCCGAUCAGGCUGUUGGUGAGGUAAUGGCCCACCAAACCUGUAACCGGUACGGGCUCUGAGAGGAGGAGCCCGGAGAUGGGCACUGAGACAAGGGCCCAGGCCCUAUGGGGCGCAGCAGGCGCGAAACCUCUGCAAUAGGCGAAAGCUUGACAGGGUUACUCUGAGUGAUGUCCGCUAAGGGCAUCUUUUGGCACUUCUAAAAAUAGUGUAGAAUAAGGGGUGGGCAAGUCUGGUGUCAGCCGCCGCGGUAAUACCAGCACCCCGAGUGGUCGGGACGAUUAUUGGGCCUAAAGCAUCCGUAGCCGGUUCUGCAAGUCUUCCGUUAAAUCCACCUGCUCAACAGAUGGGCUGCGGAGGAUACUACAGGGCUAGGAGGCGGGAGAGGCAAGCGGUACUCAGUGGGUAGGGGUAAAAUCCUCUGAUCCACUGAAGACCACCAGUGGCGAAGGCGGCUUGCCAGAACGCGCUCGACGGUGAGGGAUGAAAGCUGGGGGAGCAAACCGGAUUAGAUACCCGGGUAGUCCCAGCUGUAAACGAUGCAGACUCGGUGAUGGGUUGGCUUCGAGCCAACCCAGUGCCGCAGGGAAGCCGUUAAGUCUGCCGCCUGGGGGAGUACGGUCGCAAGGCUGUAACUUAAAGGAAUUGGCGGGGGAGCAC